This 788-nucleotide non-coding RNA is filed under the name Neoleria inscripta. The record is from RNAcentral. Lineage: Eukaryota; Metazoa; Arthropoda; Insecta; Diptera; Heleomyzidae.
AUAAAGUUUGAUUUUGGCUUAUAAAUUUGUUAUUAAUUUGUUUUAUAUGUAAAUUUUUGUGUGAAUUAUUAUUUAUUUUAAUAGUAAAUAAUUUUCUUAUAGUCGCAGUAAUUAAUAUUAUUGAUUAAGGAAACUUAGAAAUAGAAAUAUUAAUUAGUAUUGGCUAAAUUUGUGCCAGCAGCCGCGGUUACACUAGUGAUACAAAUAAAUUUUAUCAGUAAAAGUUAAUUUAUAAAUUAUUAAAAUAAAAUAAAAUUUAUUAGGUGAAAUUUUAAAUUUUUAUAUUUUUAUUAAUCAUAAUAAUUGAAGCUUAGAAAUUUUAGUAAUAAACUAGGAUUAGAUACCCUAUUAUUUAAAAAACAAUUUAAUUACUUAAGUAGUAUUAGUUAUGUUCUUGAAACUUAAAAAAUUUGGCGGUAUUUUAGUCUAUUCAGAGGAACCUGUUCUGUAAUCGAUAAUCCACGAUGGACCUUACUUAAAUUUGUUUUUCAGUUUAUAUACCGUCGUUAUUAGAAUAUUUUAUAAGAAUAAUAAUUUUCUAGAAUUUUUAUUAAAUUAUAUAUCAGAUCAAGGUGUAGCUUAUAUUUAAGUAGAAAUGGGUUACAAUAAAAUUAUUUAUAUGGAAGUAAAUAUGAAAAAUUUAUGAAAAGUGGAUUUGAUAGUAAAAUUAUAAAGAUUAUUAAUUUGAUUUUAGCUCUAAAAUAUGUACACAUCGCCCGUCACUCUUAUUAUUAAGGUAAGAUAAGUCGUAACAUAGUAGAGGUACCGGAAGGUGUCUCUAGAAUGAC